RNAcentral lists this long non-coding RNA (1732 nucleotides) under Homo sapiens (human). Its description in RNAcentral is "non-protein coding lnc-DLX3-3:12". Lineage: Eukaryota; Metazoa; Chordata; Mammalia; Primates; Hominidae. The record is from RNAcentral.
CUGGGAAAGGGUCCUGGCCUAGCUUUACAGUUUACAAAUCAUUUCACAAGCAGGCUCAUUUUAUCCUCCUGGCCUCCCUGUGAGGUGGGGAUUAUGAUAUUCAUUUGACUUAGGAGAAAACAGAGCCUCAGGAGGUUACCUGCCUGUCCAAGAUCUGAAUUUUAUGGGAGGCAGAGCUAGGACUGAAGCCGCUGACCACAACCGUGUCUUUAAGAAGACAAACUCCAGGCAGAUGGUUGUCAGACAGCUAGACAUGCCUAAACAAAAGCAGCUGUGAUAACAGCUUUCUCUGUGGUGUUUGGGGAGAAGACACUUGUCUCUAACGGCCCUUAGAACAGGAUUUGUUCCUGACCUCUGACUUCCAGAGCCACCCAGCCUCUCUCAUGGUCUGCUUUGUGGCCCAGGGCCUGCAGGGAUUAGAAGACAUGUGGGGUCAAGGAACAGGAAGCUGACCUGGAUGGAAGUUGAACAGUGAUCUUUGCUCUCUGCCUGGCUCCUGAGUCCUCUGCCAUGUUCCUGGAGAAGAGGAGCCAGCCAGGCCCUCAUCUCACUCUCCCAGAGCCCCAGAGCACACCAAUGGACACCAUCACCUCUCGGGCAGAUCAGCACAGAGACGUGAAGCACACAGGCAGCUGCUGGAAAAAUAACAAGGAAUUGCAAUGGUGUGCCCCUCCGUUGAAUGCAAGCUCUCUUCUGCCUUCUCACCUUGGGCAAGUUACCUUCCGUUCCAGGCCUCGGUUUCUCCAUGUGUGAAAUGAAAGGGCUGGAGAGAAAUCUCUCACUAUUCCCCAAUCUACAUUCAUUGUAUCCCAAACCUUCUAAUAUCUGUUCAACGAAGUGUACCAAAUCUCAGCUAUUGGACUGAGACUCAGGGGUCUAUCUGACUUGAAUUGAAAAUGCAAAUUACUGAAGAGGGAGGGAGGGAGGAGUGCUGAAGAUUGAAUGGAUUUAUCAGAUUUCCUUCUCCUAUGGCCCAGAUGCAGGCCUAGUCCAGGCGAUUCCCCUGGCUCAGAAUCUGCCAGGCUCAAGCAUUCAUUGACAGCCUACUAUGUACCAAUCCUGGGCUGAGUCCCAACCCGGGGAUGACUUAGAGGAGGCCAGGAUGUGGCCUCAUGUUCUGGUUGCUCUCACAUUUAAACAGGCUAAACCCACUUUGCAUUGUAUGUUAGGGGUGGUGCUUGUGGGACAAAGGGGGCUGUCAGAACAUUCUGGCUGCCACAUGAAGUUGACUUUGCCAGGACAGACUGGGUUGUGGGGGAAGGCAGCUACUGUAAUAAUUUGGCCAAGAAGUGGGCUGAGCAGGAGCAGGGCUGAGGGAGGGAGAGAGGGAAUGAGUAAGAAAGGCCCAGGGUACUGAUUUGACUGGGACUUCAGGGACAGGUGUGGGGCGAGAGGGAUGCUGGAAGUGAAGGAGGGAAAGUGCAGAGGCUUUCUGGGGAUUAAUAGGCAAUGAUCUCUAUGAGGGCGUGGUGAGUAGGCCCCAAACAUCCGGGGACUUCCCUGCCUGCCAUCCCUCUGUCUCUCUCUUCCUUUCCUACUGCCCAGGGCCUGGCCCUGCUGCACAUGCCCUGCCCUGGCCCCCAGAGUCCCCUUCUUUCCUGGCUGGGAGAUUAAGACUCUGCUGUGCCUACAGCAUUCUCAACCUCAAGUCAAGGUGGCCCUUUGGAGCCCAGGAGGCCACAUGGCUGAGUCAGGGCUGAGUCACCACCCCCCAAGGGCCUUGCCAUUUCCU